CCCGAACCACAUGAAACGGCGUGACGCGUCCAGAGCAGGGGCUGAUGGGAGCUUUGGUUCCUCUGCUAGAAACCACGUGGCCCUGGUCUGAUCUCUCAGCUCGUCCUUGUUUGGCCUCAGCUGCAUCAGAGCGCCACUUCUCCCCAGGUUCACCAGAGGAAACUCCACUGCACACAAUGCUUUUCCUCCCAGCUGCUGCUCUGUGCUGGCUGGGUUCAGCGCUGGCUGCCAUGGCAACACCGCUGGUUCAGGACCAGCUAUCACUUGUAGCUAAAGAAGGUAGCCUCGUCUCUUUAACGUGUUCAGCUUCAAACGGCUGUGAUAAAAAUCAGGUUUAUUGGUAUCAAACCACAGAGAGAGAUCCGCUCAGAGUGAUUCUACGCAUCGACCUGACCAGUGGAUUUCCUAAUGAUCGGUACGGUCAUCCUCAGAAAAAUGAUUUCACGGCUUUCAGUGUAGGAAACAUCUGUAGUCUGAAGAUCAAAACAGUUAAAGAGGAGCAUAAAGGCUCCUAUUACUGCGCCUGCUGGAGGUCUGGUUCCCACAGUGAGCAACGAUCCGAGCUGCCUGAACAAAAACCUGAACAGACGUUACACAGGAAGUAAACCACAGCCUCACCUUCAGCCUGCACAAAGAGUCAUCAACAACAUGAAAAGCAAUAAUCAUUCAAAGGUAGAAUAUUAACUAGUUAUACAACAAAUUUAAAAUAUUUCUGCUCAAACAAGUCAACACAUGAAAUGGUGAAAUGUGAGACUCUUGUUAUUGAUAUGAUUGUUAUGGAUUUUAUAUCUUAUGUUUCAUUUAUUAGGCAGGAAUCAGA
This is a non-coding RNA of Xiphophorus hellerii (green swordtail), 820 nucleotides long. NCBI's taxonomy places the organism in Eukaryota, Metazoa, Chordata, Actinopteri, Cyprinodontiformes, Poeciliidae. The record is from the annotation of a RefSeq genome assembly.